This 253-nucleotide ribosomal RNA is filed under the name uncultured bacterium. Its description in RNAcentral is "partial 16S ribosomal RNA". It matches the Rfam family "Bacterial small subunit ribosomal RNA", at positions 524 to 776 of the family's 1533-position model. The record is from RNAcentral.
UACGUAGGGUGCGAGCGUUGUCCGGAAUCACUGGGCGUAAAGGGCGCGUAGGCGGCCUGAUAAGUAGGGGGUGAAAUCCUGCGGCUUAACCGCAGGGCUGCCUUCUAAACUGUCAGGCUGGAGCACAGUAGAGGCAGGUGGAAUUCCCGGUGUAGCGGUGGAAUGCGUAGAGAUCGGGAAGAAUAUCAGUGGCGAAGGCGGCCUGCUGGGCUGUUGCUGACGCUGAGGCGCGACAGCGUGGGGAGCAAACAGG